UGAGUGCAUUUAUAGAUUGUCGUGUGUUAUAGGGGCCCAGCUGAGAGGGACCACACAAAGCGCAAGACAGGGCCGUCAGAGAUGUCAGCCUCUCCUUGGUCCCCCAGGCAGCCAAACCUCUGCCAGGAGCCUGCACUGAGGACAGCAGCAGAGACUAAGCAGUGUCAGGAGAAUGACAGCCACUUGUUCCCAAGGGCUGAACAGGAGCACUAAACCAGAAGGAAGAAGACCUGGGUUCUUUUCCCACCCACAUCACUGGUGAUCCACACGACCUUGGGUGCCUAAAGAGAACAAAUGGAGAUGGGUGUCUGUUUACAAAGCCGAGCAGCAACGAUUUCAAGUAUCUGCUUUGGGUAACUUUCUGCAUUCUCCAAAGUUGAUCCUUCCAGUGUGGUAUAAACACAGUUGUUGGGCAAUGUUUAAAGUCAAUGAGUCUUAGAUUACCAUCGCAAAAGUCAAUUAACAAGGCAAUUUCUUCCCUUGAUUUGUAUUUGUAUAUUAUUAAUGAACUACAAGACCUCCUAGUGAGGUAAAUUAGCCUAGGUAACUGGGGAGCAGAGUACAAACAUUUCUUUUUUCUUUAAUGGCCCCAAACAUUUAUCUCAUACAGAGAAAACAAUAUACAAGUCCAGGGAGGGCUCCCUGUUCCUGCAGCCAAGGAAGCACACCAGAGCAGCUCUGAUAAAUAUUGAUGUCUGUUUAUCAAAAUGCCACAGGCCGUCCUGGCUAGCUGCCACCUCCUCCCACCCUCGUGCAGUCCUAACUGGCAGGACUCACUAUGUAAGGAGGAGAUACAGAAACCUCAACUGCCAUUGCUGAAGGACUUUUAGCCUUUGUUUCCUGAAUACAAAAAAUAAAAAUGAAAAAUUGUCCUGACCUACAAGGGUUGGUGCCAGCCAAAGGACCAACAUCCUCUCUUUAAUGAGAGGGCAGAAAUAUAGACGCUUAUGUACAAAGAGAAUGGUAAUUGAAGAGAUCUCUGCCUCACUGAAAUAAGCAGCUUAGGGAUAUGUGAAUGCUCCCCAAAAAUGCUGCCUUGUUACAAAAUCAAUGCCAUUAAGAAAUAAAUUGUGCUACAUGUAAGUUCCAGAGGAUUAACACAGAGACAUUGAUAGCCACCAUUCGACAUGUCAUGAUUGAGUUAUGUGCAAGGCCAUGUGAAGAAUACCAUUAAUUUAAUCCCGUUUACCUAUUUUUAAGUAACACUGUUCAGCCCCAAAAUGCUGGGGGACUGAUAGCAGAGUAAAAUUUAAUAAUUCAUGUGUUAA
Macaca mulatta (Rhesus monkey) is the source of this 1268-nucleotide non-coding RNA. The record is from RefSeq and is a predicted model, not a curated record. Lineage: Eukaryota; Metazoa; Chordata; Mammalia; Primates; Cercopithecidae.